UACGUAGGGGGCAAGCGUUGUCCGGAAUCAUUGGGCGUAAAGCGCGCGUAGGCGGCCCGGUAAGUCCGCUCUGAAAGUCCAGGGCUUAACCCUGGAAAGCGGGUGGAUACUGCCGGGCUUGAAUCCGGAAGAGGCGAGUGGAAUUCCUGGUGUAGCGGUGGAAUGCGCAGAUAUCAGGAGGAAUACCAAUAGCGAAGGCAGCUCGCUGGGACGGUAUUGACGCUAAGGCGCGAAAGCGUGGGGAGCAAACAGG
RNAcentral lists this ribosomal RNA (253 nucleotides) under uncultured bacterium. Its description in RNAcentral is "partial 16S ribosomal RNA". It matches the Rfam family "Bacterial small subunit ribosomal RNA", at positions 524 to 776 of the family's 1533-position model. The record is from RNAcentral.